AGCAUUACAACCACACCGUGUGA
RNAcentral lists this non-coding RNA (23 nucleotides) under Arabidopsis thaliana (thale cress). Lineage: Eukaryota; Viridiplantae; Streptophyta; Magnoliopsida; Brassicales; Brassicaceae. The record is from RNAcentral.